Long non-coding RNA from Arabidopsis thaliana (thale cress), 241 nucleotides. RefSeq annotates it as other RNA. The transcript has a single exon. The record is from RefSeq. Lineage: Eukaryota; Viridiplantae; Streptophyta; Magnoliopsida; Brassicales; Brassicaceae.
AUCGCUGCUUGAUAGCUUCCCUCUCCGCCACGCUCUUCCUCGCCAUAGCUCUCCUGAUAUAAAGUUUCCGACUAUUAAAACGAUCCACAGAGGAUAAUGCCUGUGACAUGGAAGUUAGAUCGAAUGCACUUUUUUUCUUUGUCGGGACAUUAGUUUUCACAAGAAGAGCUUUGUCGCUUGGUUUGUUGAUAGCUUCUUUGAGCGAACUUAGAUCAAAAGUAGAACCUCCAUCAUCGUUGAU